GCAAUGGAGAAUCUGUUGAUGAGCGAAGAGUGGUUAGCUUCGUUAUCGUGGGUUGUGGAAUUGAAUGAAGUGAAUUUGCGAAGACGCAACAGGCAAAUUGUGCGCAGGUGGUGGAUGCGACCAAUUUUUUCCGGCGGCAAGAAGAUGGCAACCGCUUGCUGGAUAAUAUUGUCGCAGAACAAGCCAACGAAACCGUCGUUAACUUUCUUCGAAUGAAGAAGGAAGAUUUUGAUGUUUUGCUGCAAGCUAUAAGGCCGGCAAUAAGUCGCAUGAACACCAAUAUGCGCGACUCCAUCACAACCCAAGAAAGGUUGCUAAUUACGUUGCGGUAUUUAGCAACUGGAGAAACCUUCAGUAGUUUGCAAUAUUUGUUUCGAGUGUCUCGUUCCUCCAUAAGCAACAUAGUAAAGGAGACGUGUGUCUGCCUUACAAAAACUCUACGAUCAUAUGUGAAGCCAAAAAUAAUGAAAUCGAACUAUCGUGCUGCUUGAGGGCUGCUUAAGGAAAAAAAGUACCAGCGCCGAACUUUGAAGCUAGUUAAAAAGAGCGUGGAACUUGAUGGAACUAUGAAGCUUUUCUACCUUCACUUGGAACUCGAUGGAACUAUGAGGCUUAUUAACAAACGACGAAUAGUCUUCACCCGAACUAUGCGGCUUUUUAAGAAGCAUACGGUACUUCAUGGAACUUUAUGCCCAUUUAAGAGUGAAAGAUGACCCUUCAAGUUGUUUGUUUACAGGAUUAUGUCAAUAGAACAUUGCUAUCUGCCAUUAAGCGUCAUUAGAAGAAAAAAUCAUUGUGUGGAAAGAUGUAUUCCAAGCGUGUGAAAAAAUCGGGAAACUUGUAGAGAAGGCGUGCUAAAAUUAUGCGUGAGUUGUUUGAGAACGGAGACGACUGCGAAAUAAUCGAUAAUACAGAAUCAACAAACUUUGAUCAUGCGGUUGAACAAAUAUCCGACAGUUCCAGUUCAGAAGAUGAUGAGUGUGGGAUCCUGAGUAUGAAUGUAGUGGUGUGAGUGCGGAACGGCAAUGGAUGAGAGGCCGCCAGUCUUAGUUGAAUGCUGAAUAAAGGAGGCUGUGUUGCGUGAACUGGUAAA
Long non-coding RNA from Anopheles stephensi (Asian malaria mosquito), 1093 nucleotides. RefSeq lists it as uncharacterized. Lineage: Eukaryota; Metazoa; Arthropoda; Insecta; Diptera; Culicidae. The record is from RefSeq and is a predicted model, not a curated record. The transcript is spliced from 4 exons.